Pipistrellus kuhlii (Kuhl's pipistrelle) is the source of this 132-nucleotide small nucleolar RNA. RefSeq annotates it as small nucleolar RNA SNORA42/SNORA80 family. The transcript has a single exon. NCBI's taxonomy places the organism in Eukaryota, Metazoa, Chordata, Mammalia, Chiroptera, Vespertilionidae. The record is from RefSeq and is a predicted model, not a curated record.
GCACGGGUUCCCAUGGAUGGCAGGCCCGUCCCCCUGGGUCUCUCAUAUGCCCCGUGCCAGAGCAAACUGCAGCCUCGAACCAUUGCCCGGCCUCUGCCCGUGGGCUGCAGGCACUGAAGCGGUUGCAAAGGG